ACUCCUAAGUAAUAAAAACUAUUUAUUUGAAGUUAAGAAAGCAUGAAAUGUUUACUUAUAAAGUGAUCAAGAAUAUUCAAUUUAUUACAUGCACUGCAGAACAAAAUAUGGCUCAGAUUUUCGUGUUUGUUUAUGCUUUGAUUAUCUUUCUUUCUCUAUCACUUGUUGUAAGCAUGGAAAGAGAGAAAGCUCCUUGCAAUUCUUGGCGUGAUUGUGAAGAAUUCGAUUAUUAUGAAGUUGCUUGCAUUGAUGGUUUUUGUGAAUACCAAUAUACCUGUGAAUAAUUAAGUUUAAAAGAGAGGAAAUUUUUUCAAAGUACAAACUGAUUAUUUUGUCGAUAAUAAUUAAGGGAGCUCUAUUUAGGGAAAUGUGGAGCUUUGUUUUGAUUAAGGUUAAACGUGAUUUAAAGUAUCACAAGUGAUAACGGGUGUUGAGUUGAAUCGAGAAUCUUUAUGGAAGCAUUGCGAGGUCUGACACUUUCUAACUAUACCAUACCAUGUCUUGAUUUAUGUUUUUAUGUGCACUUUUGUGUACAUGACUAUAUGACUUAAGUACUUGAAUUGGAUGUAUGGUUUGGUGAAUAAAAUAUGAUUUACAUAUGAAUAAAUAUGCCUGAAUUAUCUUAUUAUGUUAUUGACGAUGAAAUGAUUCAUUGUGCCUA
Molecule: long non-coding RNA, 661 nt
Organism: Cicer arietinum (chickpea)
Lineage: Eukaryota; Viridiplantae; Streptophyta; Magnoliopsida; Fabales; Fabaceae
Source: RefSeq, a predicted model, not a curated record